AAGUCGUAACAAGGUUUCCGUAGGUGAACCUGCGGAAGGAUCAUUACAAUAAUAUGUGAAUUAUCCACAACCUACCGUCUUUUCGUGAACUCGUGUUGCCGUUUGCGUCGUGCGAGGUGGUACCUUCCUGGCGUUUCAUUAGGGAGCCCGAUGAGUGUCGGGAGGCUCCCGAGUCCGGAUGGUGCACACUGUCCCUCCUCUUGGAGGGGAGGCCUCUGAUUGCAAACGCGUGUUACCCCUCCCCACUCUUUACAAAUUAUCACCUUUUACCUUUUCUACCCUAGAACUGACCUCUCUGGAGGGCGCCCUCUCUUCGAGGGCCCUUCCUCCAGCAAGACUAUACGUAAAGAGAAAGAACAACUCUUAACAACGGAUAUCUUGGCUCUC
Molecule: unclassified non-coding RNA, 387 nt
Filed under: fungal sp.
Lineage: Eukaryota; Fungi
Description: partial internal transcribed spacer region
Rfam family: Eukaryotic small subunit ribosomal RNA (bases 1-46)
Source: RNAcentral